GGUACAACAUACAUUUUAUUUCAAUAGAAUUAUUUAAAAAAAAAAUAUUGUAGAAAUUAUUACAGCAGGUGAAAAUGAUGACAUUAAGAUGUAAUAAAGAAAGAGGUGAUUUUGAAAGAAUAAUAUGUAGGUACAAAGAUUUUUUACAAUUACUUUCUUUUACAUUAUAUUUACUUAUGCUCAAAUAUACAGAAUGACUCUUGUAAGUUUUUAUGUUUUUGUAAAUAUAUUUUUAAAUAAUUUAAAUUUGUCACAAAACUAUAUUUUUACUUUUUUUUAUUUCUAUGAUUUUCCAAGUUAUACCUAUAGGUUACCUAGAACUAUAGGCUUGGACACUAUUGAACCAAUUAACAUAACAUUUUGAUAACUCGAAAUUUGUGAAAUGUUAUAGUUUUCUUUUACAAUCCAUAUAAAUUAUAAAUGGCUUAUGAAAAUCAAAUUUUUUUGCAUUCAUUUAUAUGAUUGCUAUUGGUUACAGAAACAAAAGUGACUUUAACAGAAUAUAUAUAUACAAAGUAAUGUAUGUAAAAAUCAAAUUUUGAAAAAAGAGAAAAAUUAAUUAAUUAGUAACAAAAAUGUAGAUGAGUGCCGAGUGGAGUUGAGUGGCACAGGUUAGGUACACAGAAAAACAUUGAUCCAAAACUCCGUUCAUCUAACCUUUACCCACCUCUUUUAUUGGCUUCGGGGCAGCCACGACACCCGUCGUCGUCGUUGUCGUCGUCGUCGUCGUCAAGGCAAGGUCGACGACAACAUGUUGGCAGACGCGCCGCCGCCGCGACAGAGUUUUAAUACGUAAUAUUCAUAUCUAUGUUGUGUGCAGGUACAAGUAGUAAAACGUAUGUUAACCUCGUGUUUUAAGAAGUAUACAGAUCCCAAUGUUUGUAUGCUACGUAGUACGUAUACCGUGCGAAAUGAAUAAAGACAAUAAAUUCUCCCGUGGCAGCUUCUUAUGGUACACACAUUUAUUUUGUACAAACGAAAACUCAACGAAUCGAUACCAACCAUUAACCAACGAGAUUGCCAACCAGACUGAUCCAGUCAUUGUGUGAUUCUCAAAGAUGAUCAUAUUAUUAUAUGAAACCGGUAUAUAUCUGGUCUAUAGUACUUCACCUUGUCGUUAAGUUUAUGAUUCUGGUUUUUUUUAUAUAUACAUGUAUAUUUAAAUAAUUUAAAUAUUUCAAAAUUAAUUCCCUUUGUAUAUAAAAAAAAAUUAUGGCGAUAUCUUUUGAAGAAUUAUUGUGAAAUGAUUUUGUAAGAAAAUCAA
Molecule: long non-coding RNA, 1264 nt
Organism: Aphis gossypii (cotton aphid)
Lineage: Eukaryota; Metazoa; Arthropoda; Insecta; Hemiptera; Aphididae
Exons: 3
Source: RefSeq, a predicted model, not a curated record